RNAcentral lists this ribosomal RNA (650 nucleotides) under Pseudomonas sp. AD4. RNAcentral's name for it is "bacterial SSU rRNA". It matches the Rfam family "Bacterial small subunit ribosomal RNA", at positions 789 to 1437 of the family's 1533-position model. The record is from RNAcentral. Lineage: Bacteria; Pseudomonadati; Pseudomonadota; Gammaproteobacteria; Pseudomonadales; Pseudomonadaceae.
GGUAGUCCACGCCGUAAACGAUGUCAACUAGCCGUUGGAAGCCUUGAGCUUUUUAGUGGCGCAGCUAACGCAUUAAGUUGACCGCCUGGGGAGUACGGCCGCAAGGUUAAAACUCAAAUGAAUUGACGGGGGCCCGCACAAGCGGUGGAGCAUGUGGUUUAAUUUGAAGCAACGCGAAGAACCUUACCAGGCCUUGACAUCCAAUGAACUUUCUAAAGAUAGAUUGGUGCCUUCGGGAACAUUGAGACAGGCGCUGCAUGGCUGUCGUCAGCUCGUUUCGUGAGAUGUUGGGUUAAGUCCCGUAACGAGCCCAACCCUUGUCCUUAGUUACCAGCACGUAAUGGUGGGCACUCUAAGGAGACUGCCGGUGACAAACCGGAGGAAGGUGGGGAUGACGUCAAGUCAUCAUGGCCCUUACGGCCUGGGCUACACACGUGCUACAAUGGUCGGUCCAAAGGGUUGCCAAGCCGCGAGGUGGAGCUAAUCCCAUAAAACCGAUCGUAGUCCGGAUCGCAGUCUGCAACUCGACUGCGUGAAGUCGGAAUCGCUAGUAAUCGCGAAUCAGAAUGUCGCGGUGAAUACGUUCCCGGGCCUUGUACACACCGCCCGUCACACCAUGGGAGUGGGUUCCACCAGAACGUAGCUAGUCU